RNAcentral lists this ribosomal RNA (509 nucleotides) under Candida albicans. RNAcentral describes it as "eukaryotic LSU rRNA". The stretch from base 143 to 296 matches the Rfam family "5.8S ribosomal RNA". Lineage: Eukaryota; Fungi; Ascomycota; Pichiomycetes; Serinales; Debaryomycetaceae. The record is from RNAcentral.
GGGCUCUGAUUGCUUAUUGCACCACAUGUGUUUUUCUUUGAAACAAACUUGCUUUGGCGGUGGGCCCAGCCUGCCGCCAGAGGUCUAAACUUACAACCAAUUUUUUAUCAACUUGUCACACCAGAUUAUUACUAAUAGUCAAAACUUUCAACAACGGAUCUCUUGGUUCUCGCAUCGAUGAAGAACGCAGCGAAAUGCGAUACGUAAUAUGAAUUGCAGAUAUUCGUGAAUCAUCGAAUCUUUGAACGCACAUUGCGCCCUCUGGUAUUCCGGAGGGCAUGCCUGUUUGAGCGUCGUUUCUCCCUCAAACCGCUGGGUUUGGUGUUGAGCAAUACGACUUGGGUUUGCUUGAAAGACGGUAGUGGUAAGGCGGGAUCGCUUUGACAAUGGCUUAGGUCUAACCAAAAACAUUGCUUGCGGCGGUAACGUCCACCACGUAUAUCUUCAAACUUUGACCUCAAAUCAGGUAGGACUACCCGCUGAACUUAAGCAUAUCAAAAGCGGAGGAA